Molecule: long non-coding RNA, 711 nt
Filed under: Malus domestica (apple)
Lineage: Eukaryota; Viridiplantae; Streptophyta; Magnoliopsida; Rosales; Rosaceae
Description: long non-coding RNA (MDOM_LNC010840)
Source: RNAcentral
AUAUAUAUAUUAAAUUUUAUAAAAACUAUAAUAAUUAUUAAUUAAUAUGCAACCAUUGAUUCCAUAAUUCCAUUCCAUUCAUGCCGCACCCUUUGAAGAAAAAGGGAGGGAAAAUGAAAAUUAUAAGAAAAGCUGAAAAGGAAACAAAAAAGAGAGGGAAAGAUGGGUAGGCUGCCGCCCUUUGAAGAAAAAGAAGGGAGGGAAAAAUGAAAAUUAAUAAAAGUGGUGAGAAAUUUUUUUUUUUAAAGUAUAUUAACUUUUUAUCACACAUAUCCCAGUAUUUUUAUAAUGACACGUGAUGUACUACUCCGUGGGCCGGACAAUUAUACGUACAAAAUAAAUAGAUUUAAAUCUACUUAAUAAAUAAAUAAAUAAAUAAAUAUAUAUACCAUUGAACUUGAUGGGAUACGAAUUAUACGAAACUAAUUUCAACGAUCCAACCGUCAAAUUUGUUUGUAUAUUCUUCGAGAUCAUAUCAACAAAAAAUCGUAAAAAACAAACAUUCAGAGAUCAAGUAACCGAACAAAACUUUUCGAUGGUUAUAAAAUGAAAAAUCACGAUUUAACGGUUAUUUUAACUCCGAUUUUGAUUAUUUUUUAUAGCUACACUCCUUAAUCCUAUAUGAAUACAAUGAAUGAAUUCGAUCUUCAAUUUAAAAUUUUUACACUACUGGAUACCACAAAAUCUUAUGUUAUACUUAAUGAAAGUAUG